This 317-nucleotide unclassified non-coding RNA is filed under the name Hevea brasiliensis (rubber tree). Lineage: Eukaryota; Viridiplantae; Streptophyta; Magnoliopsida; Malpighiales; Euphorbiaceae. The record is from RNAcentral.
AGGGUCGGGGAGCUUCGAGGGGUACGGGACGAAGCUGCAGAAGGAUUUGGAGGGGAAGAGGGCUUGGGUUGAUUACUUGUUUCAUAAUGUUUGGCCGGAGAAGAGGGUCAACUACAAGUUCUGGCCCAAGAACCCUAAAGACUACAGGAAGGCAAACGAAGAAUACACCAAGUACUUGCUGGGAGUUAUGGACGAGAUGCUGAAAAGUUUAUCAGUUGGUUUAGGGCUAGACGAACAUGUCUUGAAGGAAGCCUCCGGUGGGGAGGACAUAGAACUGCUAAUGAAAAUCAAUUACUACCCUCGAUGCCCUCGUCCAG